AAUAUUGGACAAUGGGCGCAAGCCUGAUCCAGCAAUGCCGCGUGAGUGAUGGAGGCCUUAUGGUUGUAAAGCUCUUUCACCGAUGAAGAUAAUGACGGUAGUCGGAUAAGAAGCCCCGGCUAACUUCCUUCCAGCAGCCGCGGUAAUACGAAGGGGGCUAGCGUUGUUCGGAUUUACUGGGCGUAAAGCGAACGUAGGCGGAUUGGUCAGUUAGAGGUGAAAUCCCGAAUCUCAACUUCGGAACUGCCUUUAAUACUGCCAGUCUCGAGUCCGAAAGAGGUAAGUGGAACUCCUAGUGUAGAGGUGGAAUUCGUAGAUAUUAGGAAGAACACCAGUGGCGAAGGCGGCUUACUGGUCCGGAACUGACGCUGAGGUGCGAAAGCGUGGGGAGCAAAC
This 396-nucleotide ribosomal RNA is filed under the name uncultured bacterium. RNAcentral describes it as "partial 16S ribosomal RNA". It matches the Rfam family "Bacterial small subunit ribosomal RNA", at positions 360 to 773 of the family's 1533-position model. The record is from RNAcentral.